UAGAAAUAUAGUGGAGGUUAUCUGGGUGACAGGUGGUGCAUGGCUGUCGUCAGCUCGUGUCAUGAGAUGUUUGGUUAAGUCCCGCAACGAGCGCAACCCUACUCUUUAGUUGCUUUUCUAAAGAGACCGAACAGUAAUGUAUAGGAAGGUUGGGAUCACGUCAAGUCAUCAUGCCCCUUAUGCCUUGGGCCGCAAACGUGUUACAAUGGUGAGUACAGCGUGGUGCAAGCCAGCGAUGGCAAGCAAAUCACUAAAAACUCAUCUCAGUCCGGAUAAAAGGCUGCAAUUCGCCUUUUUGA
This 299-nucleotide ribosomal RNA is filed under the name uncultured Mycoplasma sp. RNAcentral's name for it is "partial 16S ribosomal RNA". It matches the Rfam family "Bacterial small subunit ribosomal RNA", at positions 1001 to 1323 of the family's 1533-position model. The record is from RNAcentral. Lineage: Bacteria; Bacillati; Mycoplasmatota; Mollicutes; Mycoplasmatales; Mycoplasmataceae.